Molecule: long non-coding RNA, 718 nt
Filed under: Monodelphis domestica (gray short-tailed opossum)
Lineage: Eukaryota; Metazoa; Chordata; Mammalia; Didelphimorphia; Didelphidae
Description: lncRNA (ENSMODG00000051057.1)
Source: RNAcentral
AGGAAAACAACCAUAAUGGUGAAGGGGUCUUGAGUUUAGGUUGAGGACUGGUUAAAUAAACUAGACAUGUUUAUUCUGAAGAAGAGAAGCUUCAGGAUUAGUCCUGAUAGCUAUCUUCCUGUAUUUGAAGCUCCUUUUUAGGUUUUUUUUUUUUGGUUUUGGAUUCUCUUUAUUGGUGGAGAUUAAUUGCCUGCACCCAUGAGAAGGGAGGAGCAGAGUUGGUAAUCAUUGAGAGAGGAGAGAUCACUUCAGAUCCACCACGUAAGGUCCAAGGUACUGCCAGCAGCUGGCUUGGAGGAAGAAAGGGGGAAGGGGUUGGAGGAGUGAUGGUGGAUUUGGUUAGGCAUCCUCAGCCUCCUCUGAUUUGGUCUCCCGGCAGAUUAGCAUGUCAGCUCAGCUCAGCUACUCUAAUCUAGUAUACCAGUAGAGGAGAAAGAAGACCGAAGAUUCCCUCCAGGGCAGAGCAGCUUGAAAAUGCCAAGAAAGAAAGUGAUAUCGGCAAGGUGAUUGUGUCUCAUCCAAAGAAUGGAUUGACAGUUCAAAUUACUCCUUUGCAAGGAAACAAGCUUUAUUAUAAGAAAAUAUAGUAACCGUAACUAAUAUAGUAAGCUAAGGUAGGUAAAUAGAGGUAAAGGUGGUAAGCAAAGUUAAAUGUGAUAAGCAAAGUAGAUAGAGGUUUUCAGGAUUGCUUUUUAUAUUGAUUAGCUACUAAGGAGGG